CAGUAGCCGCGGUAAUACGUAGGGCGCAAGCGUUGUCCGGAAUUAUUGGGCGUAAAGAGCUCGUAGGCGGUCUGUCGCGUCUGGUGUGAAAUCCCGAGGCUCAACCUCGGGCUUGCAUCGGGUACGGGCAGACUAGAGUGCGGUAGGGGAGACUGGAAUUCCUGGUGUAGCGGUGGAAUGCGCAGAUAUCAGGAGGAACACCGAUGGCGAAGGCAGGUCUCUGGGCCGCAACUGACGCUGAGGAGCGAAAGCAUGGGGAGCGAACAGGAUUAGAUACCCGAGUAGUCCCUGUCUCUUAUAC
This 301-nucleotide ribosomal RNA is filed under the name uncultured bacterium. Its description in RNAcentral is "partial 16S ribosomal RNA". It matches the Rfam family "Bacterial small subunit ribosomal RNA", at positions 509 to 807 of the family's 1533-position model. The record is from RNAcentral.